ACACAUGAAGUUGUGUUAAGCAAUUCAACAUGUGAACUCAAGAUUACUAGUUGUAAUUUCCAAGAUGGUAAUGGGAGUAGUGGAAAUAAUGUUGAGAGUAUUUCUGCUUUUAUGGGUACCUUAAAACCAGGGACCCCUGGUCCAGGUGGACACCAUAUUGGAUCUUCAAGAAAAUAUAGAGGUUUUGGUAGCCCUAUAAGAAAAGGGUCACCUGGACCUGGUCCUGGAGGACACCAUAUUGGAUCUUCAAGAAAAUAUAGAGGUUUUGGUAGCCCUAUAAGAAAAGGGUCACCUGUGAAUUUAUCAAGAAAAGCAGGGUCUGGAUUUAGUGGUAUUAUUUCUAGGCCUAAGGCUUCUUCUGGUGCAGAUUCUCAUGGUUUUUCAGCUCUGAAUU
RNAcentral lists this long non-coding RNA (394 nucleotides) under Nicotiana benthamiana. RNAcentral describes it as "long non-coding RNA (NBEN_LNC018951)". The record is from RNAcentral. Lineage: Eukaryota; Viridiplantae; Streptophyta; Magnoliopsida; Solanales; Solanaceae.